This 602-nucleotide ribosomal RNA is filed under the name uncultured bacterium. RNAcentral describes it as "bacterial SSU rRNA". It matches the Rfam family "Bacterial small subunit ribosomal RNA", at positions 338 to 948 of the family's 1533-position model. The record is from RNAcentral.
CCUACGGUAGGCAGCAGUGGGGAAUAUUGGGCAAUGGAGGAAACUCUGACCCAGCGACGCCGCGUGCGGGAUGAAGGCCUUCGGGUUGUAAACCGCUUUCAGUAGGGAAGAAGCGAAAGUGACGGUACCUACAGAAGAAGCACCGGCUAACUAUGUGCCAGCAGCCGCGGUAAUACAUAGGGUGCAAGCGUUGUCCGGAAUUAUUGGGCGUAAAGAGCUCGUAGGUGGUUCGUCACGUCGGAUGUGAAAAUCUGGGGCUCAACCCCAGACCUGCAUUCGAUACGGGCGAUCUAGAGUGUGGUAGGGGAGACUGGAAUUCCUGGUGUAGCGGUGGAAUGCGCAGAUAUCAGGAGGAACACCAAUGGCGAAGGCAGGUCUCUGGGCCAUUACUGACACUGAGGAGCGAAAGCGUUGGGGAGCGAACAGGAUUAGAUACCCUGGUAGUCCACGCCGUAAACGGUGGGCACUAGUUGUGGGAACCUUCCACGGUUUCUGCGACGCAGCUUAACGCAUUAAGUGCCCCGCCUAAGGGAGUACGNUCGNAAGAUUAAACNCAAAUGAGUAGAGCGNGAGAGNGCGACGACGACGACGAGGGAGGUAGG